Molecule: ribosomal RNA, 118 nt
Organism: Ursus americanus (American black bear)
Lineage: Eukaryota; Metazoa; Chordata; Mammalia; Carnivora; Ursidae
Source: Ensembl
AUCUGUGGCCAUACCACCCUGAACGCAUCCAAUCUUGUCUAAUCUCAGAAGCUAAGCAGGGUUGGCCUGGUUAGUGCGUGGAUAGGAGACCCCCUGGGAAUACCAGGUGUUAUAGGCU